RNAcentral lists this ribosomal RNA (254 nucleotides) under uncultured bacterium. RNAcentral's name for it is "partial 16S ribosomal RNA". It matches the Rfam family "Bacterial small subunit ribosomal RNA", at positions 524 to 776 of the family's 1533-position model. The record is from RNAcentral.
CACGUAGGGUGCAAGCGUUGUCCGGAAUCAUUGGGCGUAAAGAGCUCGUAGGCGGCUUAGUAAGUCGGGUGUGAAAACCCCAGGCUCAACCUGGGGACGCCACCCGAUACUGCUAUAGCUAGAGUCCAGUAGGGGAGUGUGGAAUUCCUGGUGUAGCGGUGGAAUGCGCAGAUAUCAGGAGGAACACCUAUGGCGAAGGCAGCUCGCUGGGACGGUACUGACGCUGAGGUGCGAAAGCGUGGGGAGCGAACAGG